Molecule: ribosomal RNA, 708 nt
Filed under: uncultured marine eukaryote
Lineage: Eukaryota
Description: SSU rRNA
Rfam family: Eukaryotic small subunit ribosomal RNA
Source: RNAcentral
CGGUAAAAAGCUCGUAGUUGGAUUUCUACCGAAGAUAGCCGGUCGGGUCUUCGACCUUGUAUCUGGUUUUGUCUUUGGUAUCCUCAUGGGGAACGUUGCUGCGCUUCACUGCGUGGUGCGGUAUCCAUGACUUUUACUUUGAGGAAAUUAGAGUGUUCACGGCAGGCAAACGCCCUGAAUAUAUUAGCAUGGAAUAAUAACAUAGGAUCUUCGUCCUAUUUUGUUGGUUUCUAGGGCUAAGAUAAUGAUUAAUAGGGAUAAUUGGGGGCAUCUGUAUCAACGCGUCAGAGGUGGAAUUCUUGGAUUGCGUUGCGACAAACUACUGCGAAAGCAUUUGCCAAGGAUGUUUUCAUUGAUCAAGAACGAAAGUAAGGGGAUCGAAGACGAUUAGAUACCGUCGUAGUCUUUACCAUAAACUAUGCCAACUAGGGAUCGGUGGUCGUUCUUUCUAUGACUCCAUCGGCACCUUAUGAGAUAUCAAAGUUUUUGGGUUCCGGGGGGAGUAUGGUCGCAAGGCUGAAAUUUAAAGGAAUUGACGGAAGGGCACCACCAGGAGUGGAGCCUGCGGCUUAAUUUGACUCAACACGGGAAAACUCACCAGGUCCAGACAAAAAUAGGAUUGACAGAUUGAUAGCUCUUUCUUGAUUCUUUGGGUGGUGGUGCAUGGCCGUUCUUAGUUGGUGGAGUGAUUUGUCUGCUUAAUUGCGU